AGAGUUUGAUCCUGGCUCAGGAUGAACGCUAGCGGCAGGCUUAAUACAUGCAAGUCGUGGGGCAGCAGGGGUGUAGCAAUACACUCGCUGGCGACCGGCAAACGGGUGCGGAACACGUACGCAAUCUACCCAAAACUGGUGAAUAGCCCUCCGAAAGGAGGAUUAAUACACCGUAACCUAUUGAAGUGGCAUCACUUUAUUAGUAUAGCUCCGGCGGUUUUGGAUGAGCGUGCGGCUGAUUAGAUAGUUGGCGGGGUAACGGCCCACCAAGUCUGCGAUCAGUAACUGGUGUGAGAGCACGACCAGUCACACGGGCACUGAGACACGGGCCCGACUCCUACGGGAGGCAGCAGUAAGGAAUAUUGGUCAAUGGACGCAAGUCUGAACCAGCCAUGCCGCGUGGAGGAUGAAGGCCCUCUGGGUUGUAAACUUCUUUUAUCUGGGACGAAACCCUCAUAUUCUUAUGAGACUGACGGUACCAGAGGAAUAGGCACCGGCUAACUCCGUGCCAGCAGCCCGCGGUAAUACGGAGGGUGCAAGCGUUAUCCGGAUUCACUGGGUUUAAAGGGUUGCGUAGGAGGGCANGUAAGUCAGUGGUGAAAUCUCCAAGCUUAACUUGGAAACUACCGUUGAAUACUAUCUNGUCUUUGAAAUAUUG
Molecule: ribosomal RNA, 658 nt
Filed under: uncultured Bacteroidota bacterium
Lineage: Bacteria; Pseudomonadati; Bacteroidota
Description: bacterial SSU rRNA
Rfam family: Bacterial small subunit ribosomal RNA
Source: RNAcentral